GUGGGGAAUCUUCCGCAAUGGGCGCAAGCCUGACGGAGCAACGCCGCGUGAGUGAAGAAGGUUUUCGGAUCGUAAAGCUCUGUUGUCAGGGACGAGAGACUUGAUCAGGAAAUGGGUCAAGGAGGACGGUACCUGGCGAGAAAGCCACGGCUAACUACGUGCCAGCAGCCGCGGUAAUACGUAGGUGGCGAGCGUUGUCCGGAAUUAUUGGGCGUAAAGGGAGCGCAGGUGGGAUUGUAAGUCAGUCUUAAAAGUUCGGGGCUCAACCCCGUGAUGGGAUUGAAACUACAGUUCUUGAGUGCAGGAGAGGAAAGCGGAAUUCCUAGUGUAGCGGUGAAAUGCGUAGAUAUUAGGAGGAACACCAGUGGCGAAGGCGGCUUUCUGGACUGUAACUGACACUGAGGCUCGAAAGCGUGGGGAGCGAACAGG
This 429-nucleotide ribosomal RNA is filed under the name uncultured rumen bacterium. RNAcentral describes it as "bacterial SSU rRNA". It matches the Rfam family "Bacterial small subunit ribosomal RNA", at positions 354 to 776 of the family's 1533-position model. The record is from RNAcentral.